GCACCGAAUCAGCCCUUAUUAGGCUCAAAAAAACACACAUCCUUUUUGAAGACGACGAUCUGAGCGUAGUUCGUUCAGCUCUCACAAAUAAUGGAAGACAAACGGAAAGACAACACCGGAACUCCGCCACCACUCGCGGUCGCCGACACUGCUUCUCACGCGCCUGAUGUUCCGUCCGUUGAAGCACCUACAUCUCGACGGAGAGGUGGCGGCCAUAAACGAAAAGCAAGCGCCAUUGGAAGUAGCGGCGCUAGUUCAACUCCUCCUUCAACUUCCUCCAAACGUCACGCGCGUGAGGCGCGUGAGGCACGUGAGAAGCAGUUAGUAGUGCCUUUCCCGCCGAUCCACAAUGGACCGCUCACAAGAGCUAGGCAACAGCCAAACAACGCCGCCGGAGCUGGUUCUCCGUUAGGUUUUGGUGUUAAGAGCGAAUCGGAGGUGCCGCCGAAGGCGGAGGGCGGCGGAGAAGAGGCGGUGAAGGUUGACAAAGAGUCGAAUAAAGCGAAGGAAGAUUUGGAAGCAUUAGAGAAUGAAAUUGAAGCUGAAAUUGAGGCAAUUAGGUCACGAAAUCCUAAUGUUCAUGUUGUGCCUACUCAUGCAGGUUGGUUCUCUUGGUCAAAAGUUCAUCCUUUGGAGAAGCGAACAAUGCCGUCUUUCUUCAAUGAGAAGUCGCAAAGUAGGACUCCAGAAAUAUACAUGGAGAUAAGGAAUUGGAUCAUGAAAAAGUAUCACACUGACCCAAAUAGUCAAAUUGAGUUGAAUGAUUUGUCCGAGCUCUCAGCAGGAGAUUUGGACGUAAAACAGGAAGUGAUGGAGUUUUUGGACUACUGGGGUUUAAUUAAUUACCACCCUUUCCCACAAACCAAUUCGGUUAUGCAAGCUGAUAUUGAUGCGGACGAGGCUGCAAAGACAGAUUCUUUGAUUGAUAAGCUUUUUCGAUUCGAAUCAGAUGAAACAUGGACCCCGGUUCUUCCCAGGUCUAGUGUAGCUACUCCUUCUGUGUCUUCUGGGUUCUUUCCAGAGUCGGCUAUUGCUGAAGAACUAAUGAAGUCUGAAGGGCCAGCUGUUGAGUACCAUUGCGACUCUUGCUCAGCUGACUGCUCAAGAAAGCGGUAUCAUUGCCAAAAGGAGGCAGAUUUUGACUUGUGUAGCGAAUGCUUCAACAAUGGGAAGUUUGGAUCUGGGAUGGUCCCUUCAGAUUUCCUUCUUAUGGAGCCUGGUGAGGCUGGUGGUGCAAGUGGUGGGAAGUGGACAGAUCAGGAGACUCUUCUUCUCCUUGAGGCAUUAGAGCUUUAUAAGGAAAACUGGAAUGAGAUCGCUGAGCAUGUGGCUACAAAGACCAAAGCUCAGUGUAUUCUGCACUUCAUCGAAAUGCCAAUAGAGGAUAUAUUCCUGGAUACUGAUCCUGAAAGUAACAAGCGUGUUAAAGAAAAUGAGGAUGCAGUUUUGUCUAAAGAUGAUACAUCAGCCGGUAUUGAUGCCCCAGAAACGACUGAGAGUAAGGAUGAUGGAAAUGACAAUCAGUUUUCAUCCAUGGUGGAAACAUCAUCCACAGUGGAAACAUCGAAGCCAGAGAAUGUGAAUGGGCUAACUCCUCAGGAGGAAGUUGGUGAGAACUGUGCACUCAAUGCACUGAGGGAUGCAUUUACAGCUGUUGGUUUUUAUCCUCCACCUGGAGAACGUGUUUCAUUUGCUGAAGCUGACAAUCCUGUAAUGGCACUGGCAGCGUUCCUGGUGAAACUGGUAGAAGCUAAAAGGGUCACUGCCUCAGUACGAAGCUCUUUGAAAUCCAUUUCUAGUAAUCCUUCUGGUGAGCAGCUAGCCUUAAGGCACUGUUUUGUUUUGGAAGAUCCACCAGAUGAUGGGAAGACAUCACCUGAUUCAGAUAGACCUGCUAAUGGAUCAGUUGAUCUAGACGAUAAGAAAGAUGAGGAUGGCAAUGUUGAAAUGGAGAAAGAGGAAAAAUUGACAUCAGUUACUGAUGAGAAUGGCUUGACAAUUGGACAAGAUAAAGAGACCAAAGGUGAAGCAAACGUUGACAAAAAGUGCGAAGAGCCGGAUGGUGAAAACCAUGAAGAGAAAAAUGAAGAGGAACUUGAAGAAGCGACACAUUUGGUUUCUACGAGUGACGAAAAUCCAGAGAAAUCUGAUACUGUAAAGCAAUCUGGUCAAAUUCCUACUGACAAAGAGGGCGAACCUGCAUCACUUAAAGAACCAGAUGAUGCAGGCUUGGCAGUGGGACAGACACCAAGUACCACAGCAGAAUCAGAUGUUUUAGUGUCUAAUUUAGAGCUCCCACCCGGUUUCGAAAAGGAAUCAGUUGAUGGAGCUUUAGUGGCCAUUCGUACUGAUUCUCCAGAUACUCCUAAAGACGAGGACAUGAUGCCUGCUUUGCAAACAAAGGAGCCUGAGCAAUCCAUGAAAUCAAACUCUGCACUUGAAAUUGACGAAAAUAAAGGUGCUGGAGAAGCGAAAGACACUGUAGAUGGGAGAAAAGAUCCUUUGAAGACCAAAGAUGAUCUGGAUAUUGAUAAGAUCAAACAUGCAGCAGUCACUGCUUUAUCAGCUGCUGCAGUCAAGGCGAAAUAUCUUGCAGAUCAAGAAGAGGACCAAAUUCGGCAGCUUACAACGUCAUUAAUAGAGAAGCAGUUACACAAGCUGGAGAGCAAGUUAACUUUCUUCAAUGACAUGGAUAAUGUUGUUAUGAGGGUCAGAGAACUGUUAGAGAGGUCAAAACAGAGGCUUAUCCAUGAACGUAAUCAAAUAAUUGCAUCAAGAUAUGGUUCUUCAGCUCGUCCUAUGCCACCUUCGGUACCUGCUAACCGGCCUGGAGUGCCUCCUACUAAUUCAGUGCCUAGGCAUCUAACUGCAAUGAGCUCCCAGAGGCUACCGAAUUCAAGACCCAUUAUAGCAGGAACUCCUAUACCAAGCUCUUUUAUGUCUACAGCAGUUUCAGGAAAUUCAAUGCAGCCUUCAAAGUAGGAUAAGCUUCUUUCAGUUAGAACUAAGUAAUAUCUGCUCAAGUGCAUGAGGAUGAACUCAUCUAGAAAUCAAAAGAGCGAAGAAACGGUCUUCAGAUAUCUUUCAUCAUGUGAAUAGCCCGACUGGUUUGAAUUGGAGUUUUCCUCAAAUAGUACCAUUUUACUUCUCUAGUGGAUGCUGAUGACCGGGAUUGGCCUGUUCUCUUGAUCAUUGAAAUUGAUUCAAAGUGAAACUUCUGGAUAUUCAUUGUUUCACCAAAAACCGCUGUACCUGUAAUGUUAUGGUUACGAUUUGUUGUCCGUCAUCAAAUAGUGAUGGAUUUGUGGCCUUUGGACUGUGUUGAAUGAUCUGCUUUUGCACACUAGUUUAAAUCAAUGUUCUCUUGCACGAAUGUAUUUAAGCAACUGUUCUGUAAGAUUAUAAUGAAAAGAAUAGACUUUCUUCUA
Molecule: RNA transcript, 3428 nt
Organism: Lycium barbarum (goji berry)
Lineage: Eukaryota; Viridiplantae; Streptophyta; Magnoliopsida; Solanales; Solanaceae
Gene name: SWI/SNF complex subunit SWI3D
Exons: 8
Source: RefSeq, a predicted model, not a curated record